RNAcentral lists this ribosomal RNA (327 nucleotides) under uncultured eukaryote. Its description in RNAcentral is "partial 18S ribosomal RNA". It matches the Rfam family "Eukaryotic small subunit ribosomal RNA", at positions 1470 to 1796 of the family's 1831-position model. The record is from RNAcentral.
CCCUUAGAUGUUCUGGGCCGCAUGCGCGCUACACUGACGAAUGCAACGAGCUUAUAACCUUGGCCGAAAGGUCUGGGUAAUCUCCAAAUUUCGUCGUGAUGGGGAUAGAUUAUUGCAAUUAUUAAUCUUCAACGAGGAAUGCCUAGUAAGCGCAAGUCAUCAGCUUGCGUUGAUUACGUCCCUGCCCUUUGUACACACCGCCCGUCGCUCCUACCGAUUGAAUGGUCCGGUGAAGCGCUCGGACCGCGGCCUCUUGACGGUUUUCCGUCGAUUGGCUGUGGGAAGUUCGUUAAACCUUAUCAUUUAGAGGAAGGAGAAGUCGUAACA